Molecule: long non-coding RNA, 1953 nt
Organism: Peromyscus californicus insignis
Lineage: Eukaryota; Metazoa; Chordata; Mammalia; Rodentia; Cricetidae
Exons: 3
Source: RefSeq, a predicted model, not a curated record
CAAACAGCACCACCAACCAAGAGUUCAACUACUCAAGCCUAUAGGGCUCAUUUCUCACUCGAACCAGCUCAAUGGGAAACUCUCAGGACACAGCAAUACAUGCAGGUAUGGGAGACAAUGGCAGCACUCAUGGAUGCCAAGCGACGGCUGCCUUUUGACAACGGACUUGUUGGAGAACCAUGCCAGCCUGGAAAUCGACACAGGUGCAGAACGGAUGCUGAUGUAGUUCUCGAUGCCUCGUGAAGACUGUGAAGUAAGUAUCUCAACAUUUCAUGCCCUGAAACCUGGAAACGAACACCCACAUUCAUCCCCGGUACCACUCCGUCCACAAGGCUUCAGCUGUGUUCUUCAAAGAGAAGCCUUUGACCCGCUGCAUCAUGACUCAGCUAUCAAUAUGUAACCUGUACCAAAUCCAUGUACUUCCCAAGAUGCUUCCACUUCAGGGUUUGAGUGAACAAUGAAAAGCCCUUGGGCCUUGCACAAGGGCACAGAAUUAUAAUCCCAUCAUGUGAGAGGCAGGAGAUCGUGAGUUGAAAGCAAGCUGGUGCUCUAUAGGGAGUUCGAGGACAGCAUGGGCUACACAGGGAUUCACUAUCUCAAAACACAAAGACUCUUGACUUGUAAGUGAUAAGACACUGAGAUUUUCUGAGCACUCAUCAUCUUGUGGGAACUGUGCUAAACUUGGACACCAACAACACUCACCACAGAGUGAAGGAGAGAGCAAUAUUUGGGCUAAUCAAGGCAAAGCUUUCUGAGGGAAGUAAUGUCUGACUUCAGUCUUGAGAAUAGAUCAGUCAGAUGAAAUUGUGAGAGUUCACCUAGGCAGAAAGGAUGGAGCAUGAGAGGUGUGGCCAGGCAUGAAUACCCACAUGCCUGAUGAUUGCACUAGGUCCAUGUACCUGCAGUAUUAGAACAUGUGCUAAAAAGAGGAAAGGGGGACAGGCAGUAGGGUGGCUCUCCAUAGUGUUCCUAAGUAGCCAUGAAACACCAUUUUUCUUCAGUAGAGAUAUCUGGGGCUCAAAACAGUCACUGGCAUUUUAAUCCCACAAGCAGAAUGGUAAAGCAGAAAAGACCUGUCAUUAAUUCCUCCCAGGUUUUUAGGUCAGUAGUCUCUAUAAUUGCCUUGUUUUUCUAAUUUGAAGAGAAUUCCUCAAGCAAUGAAGUUUGUGCUUAUAUAACUAUUUUUCUGCUCCCUUCUGACCUUUGACACUGAUAUUUGUUGAAACAGCUAUUUUUCACUAAAUUGAUCUAGACACUCAUUGACUAGCUCGUUGAGCAAGGCUGGUCAGAAGGGCCUUGGCUCUGAAGCCGAUAGAAGCCACCCCCAUCAUUUCCUUACUGCAGUAUGCUUGGAACUGUGGAAAGUGCUUCCUCACUGGAAGUCCUCACUAUGAAGGAGAUGCUAUUAGCAUUCCUAUCUUGUAGAUGGAAAAGAAAAAUAUGGCUUUGGAAAAGUAACAGCUCAGAAUGUCAGAACCAGGAUCCAAGUGAUUUAAUUCUAGAAUCUCCACUCUUGGCUAUCUCAUGCCACUGUGGUUAUAAAACGCUUCUUUGCAACAGCAAUCCAGAUUUUAGACCAGAAAAUAUUUAAUAUUCCCUGGAUAUCCAGGGAAGUAGACAGCCGUAAGUGUUCCAAAGGGGAAAGCUUAAUUCAGCAAAGGUUUUCUAUCUGCCAGGUGGAAGUCUGAUUCACAAUUCCUCUGAGAAAUUAGGGCGCCUGGAUAUGGUUCAGUAAUAGGACGUGGGCCUAGCAUGUGAAAGGCCUUGGGUUUGAUACCCAAGACUACAGACCAAAAAAGACAUUGGAAUUUUAAUUCUAUUUCCCUAUAAAACCCCAUUCUCUAAAGCAUGGACUUUAGGUAAUCACAAUGCAUCCACGCUUAUUUGUUAAUUGUAAUAAAUGUACCAUAUCCAACUAUGAUGCCAUCGACAGGAAAUGCCAUCUUUGCCAUU